This 406-nucleotide ribosomal RNA is filed under the name uncultured bacterium. RNAcentral describes it as "partial 16S ribosomal RNA". It matches the Rfam family "Bacterial small subunit ribosomal RNA", at positions 30 to 526 of the family's 1533-position model. The record is from RNAcentral.
AUUGAACGCUGGCGGCAGACCUAACACAUGCAAGUCGAGCGAGCGGCGGACGGGCGAGUAAUGUAUGGGGAUCUGCCUGAUGGAGGGGGAUAAUCACUGGAAACGGUAGCUAAUACCGCAUACACUCAGAUGUACCCAUAUGGGAUUAGCUUGUAGGUAAGGUAACGGCUUACCUAGGCGACGAUCCCUAGCUGGUCUGAGAGGAUGAUCAGCCAGACUGGGACUGAGACACGGCCCAGACUCGUACGGGAGGCAGCAGUGGGGAAUAUUGCACAAUGGGCGCAAGCCUGAUGCAGCCAUGCCGCGUGUAUGAAGAAGGCCUUCGGGUUGUAAAGUACUUUCAGUCGGGAGGCGUUACCGACAGAAGAAGCACCGGCUAACUCCGUGCCAGCCGCCGCGGUAAUAC